RNAcentral lists this long non-coding RNA (2198 nucleotides) under Sus scrofa (pig). RNAcentral describes it as "lncRNA (ENSSSCG00070005519.1)". The stretch from base 1630 to 1721 matches the Rfam family "Small nucleolar RNA SNORD116". Lineage: Eukaryota; Metazoa; Chordata; Mammalia; Artiodactyla; Suidae. The record is from RNAcentral.
UCCUGGCCCGACGGUGACGGAGGGCUUUGAUGAGGCCCGGCGGCCGCGUGCUUGCCAGGAAGGCCCGGGGCUUGAGGCCCUGGAAGGCCUGGCCCGUUCAGGAGUCCCGGCUGUUUGGGGGAAUGUCCCACGCCCUGUGGGGAUUUGAGCCGUGUCUCCCGGCCGACUUGGGUGUCCCGGUUGGUGUGUGGUCGGGCCUGGGGGCUUGGUGCGGGCGGGAACCGCGGGUAGCGACCACGUCUCGUCAGGGGGUUCGUGCCUGCUGCUGGGCACGGGAACGGCUCCGGGGGGGUCUUACGGGCGCUGAGGGGAUUCCGCAUCAUGGAGAGGUCAAGGGGAGUUGGUGGCCGUCACCCUUCGUCAGGGCAGGGUAGCAUCAGUGCUCCCGUGCUGGGGUUCCUGGAGAGCCGGCUGGCACGGACAGACUCUUGUGAGGGCAAGUGGCUGAUCGUGCGUCGGAUGGGUCCAGCAAAGGAGAGAAAGCUUCGGGUGCGCGCGCUCGCCAGGGAAAGGGUGACAGCGGGUGGGACCGAGAGGGAGAGAGAGAGAGAGAGAAAAAGGAAGAGAGAGGGUUUCCGCAGGGGCGGUGAGUCCUGGCGGAAGUCCUGAGGCAGAGGAGGUGCCAGGGGUUUGGGUUUCCCGGUCGUGUCGGGGGUGUGGCGCAGGUUGCCCCAGUGGGCCUGAAUGUGCCUCCGUGGGGCACCUUGUUGCCGUGUUGGGGGGCGGGGAGCCGGCCUUGGGGAUCCAUCUUUCGGGCCCUGGGACGUGGGAGAAGAAUGCCGGGCCUCUCUCUGUGCCCCUGGCGCCUCUGUGCAGGCCGGGCCUGCACCACCCCCCCGCGCCCGUCCCCAGGCAGGGUCCGUGUGGCUGCAGACACCCAGAGAGAGGGGAGGCUGGGGAGGCUGGGGAGCCGUGGCAGCCCGAUGCAGUGCGGGUCUCCAGGUGGAGGGGCCCUGGUCCCCUGGCGCCAGCGUGGCCCUUCCUCCUUGUGGAAACCCUUGUGGUGUGUGUGCUCUCUCGCCCUGACCCAGGAGAGCAGCAUGGCGGACCCCUGAUCUUGUGGCGUGCCACCGCGCGAGGCCGAGGAGCUCCCGCAGCCCAGUGGGCGUGGCGUCCUUGUCGCGGCUCUGUGGAGACCUGGCGAUGGAGAGCAGCAUGGCGGACCCCUGAUCUUGUGGCGUGCCACCGAGCGAGGCCGAGGAGCUCCCGCAGAACCAGUGGGCGUGGCGUCCUUGUCGCGGCUCUGUGGAGACCUGGCGAUGGAGAGCAGCAUGGCGGACCCCUGAUCUUGUGGCGUGCCACCGCGCGAGGCCGAGGAGCUCCCGCAGACCAGUGGGCGUGGCGUCCUUGUCGCGGCUCUGUGGAGACCUGGCGAUGGUGAGCGGCCCCUGUCCUCAGUGGUGGAGAACUCGCCCUUGGGGCGCUCGUCUGUCCGGAGCCCCGGGCCAGCCCCGCUUCUCGCGGGCUUUGGCCCCGGCAGGCCAGCUCCGGGGGCGUGAGGGGGAGCGUCCCGUCCUGCCCAGUGGCUCGUCUGUCUGGGCACGCCCCCAAACGCUGCCGUGAUGGAGCGGGUGGGAUGUCCAGGUGCGGAGGCCGUGAAUUUGCCUUGCGGCGGCGGAGCCCGUGCUCGGAUCGAUGAUGACUCCCUCUAAAGCAUUCCUUGGAAAUCUGAACAAAAUGAGUGAGAACUCACUACCGUCUCCUCAUCGAAACUGAGGUCCGGCACGUGGCGGCCACCGGGGGCUCGGGGGUAGAUGGGCCCUUGGCCUUGGGGCCUCUGGGUGUCAGCAGCCACUCGGGUGAGGUCUGGGGAAGGCGGCCGCCUGCCGGGCCCAGGAAGCAUGGGGCCCGUCGCCCGGCGCUGGCCUCGGGGGCGAGGCCGCGUGCCCGAGCGUGCUGGAGAUCCCGGGCGGCCUCCCGCCGGCCUUGGGGGGUUUCGCAAGCCGUCGCGGGGGCCGAAAUUUGGGCCCGGCCCGCGAGGCAAGUGUGCGGCCCUAGGGCCCCAGGGGGCGUCCUGGCCCAGGCCGGGCGCCCUUCUCAGGAUGCUGUGGGGAGACGGGAUCCCGGCAGGGUAGUGUUCUCUUUCUGCUCUGGGGACCCCUGAGGGCCACCUGCUGCAGGGGGUCUGUGGUAGCGGGGGCCCUUGGAUCAGGGCCGUCCCCCAUGGGAGGGGGGCAGCCUGGGAACCCCUGAGGGCG